CGUAGGGUGCAAGCGUUAAUCGGAAUUACUGGGCGUAAAGCGUGCGCAGGCGGUUCUAUAAGACAGAUGUGAAAUCCCCGGGCUCAACCUGGGAACUGCAUUUGUGACUGUAGAGCUGGAGUACGGUAGAGGGGGAUGGAAUUCCGCGUGUAGCAGUGAAAUGCGUAGAUAUGCGGAGGAACACCGAUGGCGAAGGCAAUCCCCUGGACCUGUACUGACGCUCAUGCACGGAAGCGUGGGGAGCAAACAGGAUUAGAUACCCUGGUAGUCCACGCCCUAAACGAUGUCAACUGGUUGUUGGGAAGGUUCCUUCUCAGUAACGUAGCUAACGCGUGAAGUUGACCGCCUGGGGAGUACGACCGCAAGGUUG
RNAcentral lists this ribosomal RNA (370 nucleotides) under uncultured organism. Its description in RNAcentral is "bacterial SSU rRNA". It matches the Rfam family "Bacterial small subunit ribosomal RNA", at positions 526 to 896 of the family's 1533-position model. The record is from RNAcentral.